GAUGAACGCUGGCGGCGUGCCUAAUACAUGCAAGUCGAGCGAACAGAUGAGGAGCUUGCUCCUCUGACGUUAGCGGCGGACGGGUGAGUAACACGUGGAUAACCUACCUAUAAGACUGGGAUAACUUCGGGAAACCGGAGCUAAUACCGGAUAAUAUAUUGAACCGCAUGGUUCAAUAGUGAAAGACGGUUUUGCUGUCACUUAUAGAUGGAUCCGCGCCGCAUUAGCUAGUUGGUAAGGUAACGGCUUACCAAGGCAACGAUGCGUAGCCGACCUGAGAGGGUGAUCGGCCACACUGGAACUUAGACACGGUCCAGACUCCUACGGGAGGCAGCAGUAGGGAAUCUUCCGCAAUGGGCGAAAGCCUUACGGAGCAGCGGCGCGUGAGUGAUGAAAAUCUUCGGAUCGGAAAACUCUGUUAUUAGGGGAGAACAAAUGUGUAAGUAACUAUGCACGUCUUGACGGUACCUAAUCAGAAAGCCACGGCUAACUACGUG
This 497-nucleotide ribosomal RNA is filed under the name uncultured bacterium. RNAcentral describes it as "partial 16S ribosomal RNA". It matches the Rfam family "Bacterial small subunit ribosomal RNA", at positions 28 to 507 of the family's 1533-position model. The record is from RNAcentral.